Molecule: ribosomal RNA, 1847 nt
Filed under: Cladonia rangiferina
Lineage: Eukaryota; Fungi; Ascomycota; Lecanoromycetes; Lecanorales; Cladoniaceae
Description: 16S ribosomal RNA
Rfam family: Bacterial large subunit ribosomal RNA
Source: RNAcentral
AAGUAAAAUGGAGUGCAUAUCUGUUUGAAUAAAAGGGGAACCUUCCUCUAAGACUAAAUAUAAUAUAUAAGCGAUAGCGAAUAGUACCGUGAGGGAAAGGAUUGAAAUAGUAAUUUUAUAAGCAGCUCAAAAAUAGUUUAAAUAAACAAUGAGAGCGUACCUUUUGCAUAAUGGGUCAGCAAGUUAAUAUUCGAUGCGAGCAACAAUGCAAAGAUAAAACAAUUAUGAUAUAAUGAUGUAGUAUCGAAAUUAGACCCGAAGCCUAGUGAUCUUACCAUGAUCAGGGUUAUAAAAGUCCGAACGGGUUAUCGUUGUAAAGAUAUCCGAAGAAUCGUGGUAAGUUAGUGAAAGACAAUUCUGACUAGGAUAGCUGGUUUUCUGCGAAACCUAUAUAAGUAGGUAAUUUAAAUAGAAUAUCAGAAGGUACAGAAUUGUGAUCUCAUAAAUAAAUAUAUACUUUUUGUGGACAUUGGGGGGUCGUGAAGACUCUAUCAGUGAGUAUUUGUUCUCGGAAGGACUAGAUAUGUAUAUUGAAUAAUCAGACAUAGUACGAUAAGGUUGUAUGUCUAAAGGGAAAUAGCCCAGAACAAGAGUUAAUAAGGUUCCAAAAUUUUUGUUAAGUGAAAUUAAGGCAGUAUUUAUCCCAAUCGGCCAGGGAAUAGGCUUAGAAGCGGCCAUUUUUUGAAGACCUCGUAACAGAGCACUGGUUUUCUAUUUUAUGGAUAAAAGCACCGAAAAUUUAACGGAUCUAAACAAAAUACCGAUACCUUGUCCAUAUAUAUUAAUGUGUAUAUUAUAUAUUGUAUAUAUGGGGUAGCGGAACAUUGGGUAGCUAUUUUUAAUCCUUUAUAAGGAUUAAUUUGUUUAGAGUUUAACUUAUUAUUCUCUGGACUAAACAAGCCCAAGUGAUAAUGCUGACAUGAGUAACGAUAAAGGACCGUACCUAAAUACUAACACAAGUGAGCAAGUAGAGAAUACGAAGGCGUUCGAGCUAACAAUCAUUAAGGAACUCGGCAAAUUGACUCUCGUAACUUCGGGAUAAGGUGGACCAUUUCUUCUGAUUAAUAUCAGGCAAGAAACAGGAGGCAUAGAAUGGUGUUGUACGACUGUUUAAUUAAAACAAAGCACGCUGCGAAGAAAUAAAUUCGAAGUAUUGAGUGUGAUCUCUGCCCGAUGGCGGCUGGUUAACUAAUUUGCUUAGUUAAAUCUAAUAAGCUAGGCUUUGAUGGAAACCCCGUUCAAUGGCGGCCUUACCUAUAAGGGUCCUAAGGUAGCGUAAUACCUUGGCCGUUAAAUGCGGUCUUGCAUGAAUGAUGUAACGAUACAACAGCUGUCUCUAUGAUUGGCUCGGUGAAAUUGGAAUAACUGUGCAGAUACAGUUUACCUUUAGUUGGACGAGAAAACAGGCUAAUCCCGCCAGAGAGUUCAAAUUGAGUGCGGGGUUUGGCACCUCGAUGUCGGCUUAGCUCAUCCACAUGAAUGUAGGAGUCAUGAAGGGUCCGACUGUUCGUCGAUUAAAGAGCUACACGAGCUGGGUUAAAUACGUUGUAAGACAGUAUGGUUUCUAUCCUCUAAAGGAAGUUGGAAUAAAUUAAGGAUAGCCCCUUGUACGAGAGGAAUUGGGUAUAUUAACCUAUGGUUUACCUGUUGUUUGUAUUGCCAUAUUAUUGUAACUGAUAAGGCACGGCAGGAAAGCUACGUUAGUUAAUGAUAAGUGCUGAAUGCAUAUAGGCACGAAACAUACCUUAGAAUAUUCUCAUAUAUACGUAGUUUAAUACUACAAUUUUAAUUUUUAUUAAUAGGCUUUAGCUUAAAGAAUUGUGAUAUUUUUAGGCAUUAAGUACUAA